Molecule: long non-coding RNA, 1206 nt
Organism: Drosophila montana
Lineage: Eukaryota; Metazoa; Arthropoda; Insecta; Diptera; Drosophilidae
Exons: 4
Source: RefSeq, a predicted model, not a curated record
UGUGUGUCUGUGUGUGUGUGUGUUGUCUGAGCGUUCAGCUAAAUCUGUCAAACAGCAAAUACAAACACAAAAUACAAAUACAAAUACAAGAGUACGAAGUACAAAUCCAAAGUACAAGUAAAUAAUAAAAUCAACUUGAAAUUCCGUUCGGGUUGUGUUCUCGUAAUGUGCCUGAAAUUGAUUUUCUUUUUGCCAGACAACCAGGCAUCAGGCGCAGAGGAAAUGUGCACGACGGAAGCGGGAGGGGGGCGUGCGGCAGCUCCUCCGAGCACACACACACACACACACACACGUCGCCGGAGUGCAUAUCCUGAGGACAUAAAAUUAUCAGCAACAAACACAUCUGUUUCAUAGUUUGCUGAGACUGAAGACUUAAUCAAAUGCCAGAAUCCCCAUCAUUGAAGUAUGAGAGCUGACUUUCCUCCAGCUUAACGUACGCUCUCUUGGCUUCCAACCACUUCCUUUAUUAUUACUAUCUUCCCUUAUCUACUACAUAUCCAUUCACCCUGAUCCUUAUUCCAAUUCCAAUUCAUCUUAAGAACCGCAGUCAGCUACAAAAAAGGGGACCCGGCAUUAAAUCCCAAGCCCAUUGUAAGCCAGGACAAACUUGUCAACGCAAAUGGUGCGCCGCAGGACCACGCCUAAUGCACUUUUGAUAGGCGCCACAAGCAGCAGCAGGGGAGAGGAGGACGGGUAGAAGAAAAGCAGCAGCAGCAGCAGCAGCAGCAGUAUCAGCAUCAGUUAGCAGCAUGUCCAAAACAGCAGCCAUUGAUAAAUUAUCAUGUGGACAUCAGCCUGGAGGGGGAGCGUUGGACCCGUCAUCAGGUGCAGCAAAUGAUGCUGCAUAAAAAUAAAUAUAACAAAGAAACUAAAAGUCUUUCUCCCCCCCUCGCGGCGUAAAUUUUUAAUCUAUUUUAAAUGUGGUUUAUGGUACGGUGCGACCGGAUGAUGGUUCACAGCGACCGUGCAUACUUUUAACUGGUCGGUGGGACUUUCGUCCGUUUGUAACGCCAUUUUUCAACGAUUUAUCAAAUCAGAUUGCAUAUAUCAAACGUGUUUAUUUACGGCCCUAGCGACGGCCCACUUAUCGCUGCAACUGUUAUUUUUAAUGUCGUCCAAUUGUCGGCUCAUUAAUUAGAUAUUAAUAGAAAUAAAUUGUGAAUGCGUUUUUAAUUGUUGUUUAAAUAAAGCAAAUAAAUCAAGCAA